Molecule: ribosomal RNA, 505 nt
Filed under: Pseudothemis zonata
Lineage: Eukaryota; Metazoa; Arthropoda; Insecta; Odonata; Libellulidae
Description: partial 16S rRNA
Rfam family: Bacterial large subunit ribosomal RNA
Source: RNAcentral
GUCCUUUUGAAUUUAAUUUAAGGUCUAGCCUGCCCAGUGAAUAUUUUAACGGCCGCGGUAUACUGACCGUGCAAAGGUAGCAUAAUCAUUAGUCUUUUAAUAGAGGGCUGGAAUGAAAGGUUUCACGAGGAAUAAACUGUCUCAUUUUAUUUGUUUUAAAAUUUAAUUUUUUAGUUAAAAAGCUAAAAUAUUGUUGGAAGACGAGAAGACCCUAUAGAUCUUUAUAGGGACUUAUUUAAAUAUUUAUAUAUUAAUGUAUUUACAUGAUUCUCUAUUUUGUUGGGGUGACAAAAAUAUAUAAUUAACUUUUUUAUUUAAUUAACAUUGAUUAAUGAAUAUAUGAUCCACUAUUAGUGAUUAUUAGAUUAAGUUACCUUAGGGAUAACAGCGUAAUCCUCCUCCAGAGUUCAUAUUUACAGGAUGGGCUUGCGACCUCGAUGUUGGAUUAAGAUAAUAACUAGGUGUAGCCGCUUAGUUUAUAGGUCUGUUCGACCUUUAAAUUCUU